AGAGGCUUAGGAUAGCAUUAGACCGAGGGCCUUCAAAGCCCUGAGCGAGAGUGAAAAUCUCUCAGCCCCUG
This 71-nucleotide transfer RNA is filed under the name Nemateleotris decora (elegant firefish). RNAcentral describes it as "tRNA-Trp". It matches the Rfam family "tRNA". Rfam says of the family: Transfer RNA (tRNA) molecules are approximately 80 nucleotides in length. Their secondary structure includes four short double-helical elements and three loops (D, anti-codon, and T loops). The record is from RNAcentral. Lineage: Eukaryota; Metazoa; Chordata; Actinopteri; Gobiiformes; Gobiidae.